RNAcentral lists this ribosomal RNA (446 nucleotides) under uncultured bacterium. Its description in RNAcentral is "partial 16S ribosomal RNA". It matches the Rfam family "Bacterial small subunit ribosomal RNA", at positions 338 to 795 of the family's 1533-position model. The record is from RNAcentral.
CCUACGGGAGGCAGCAGUCGAGAAUCAUUCACAAUGGGGGAAACCCUGAUGGUGCGACGCCGCGUGGGGGAAUGAAGGUCUUCGGAUUGUAAACCCCUGUCAUGUGGGAGCAAAUUAAAAAGAUAGUACCACAAGAGGAAGAGACGGCUAACUCUGUGCCAGCAGCCGCGGUAAUACAGAGGGCUCAAGCGUUGUUCGGAAUCACUGGGCGUAAGGCGUGCGUAGGCUGUUUCGUAAGUCGUGUGUGAAAGGCGCGGGCUCAACCCGCGGACGGCACAUGAUACUGCGAGACUAGAGUAAUGGAGGGGGAACCGGAAUUCUCGGUGUAGCAGUGAAAUGCGUAGAUAUCGAGAGGAACACUCGUGGCGAAGGCGGGUUCCUGGACAUUAACUGACGCUGAGGCACGAAGGCCAGGGGAGCGAAAGGGAUUAGAUACCCCGGUAGUC